AAGGGAUCCUUCGGCCUGAACCUCCCAAAGUGCUGAGAUUACAGACACAUCAUGGGGCCCAACAAGCGAGGGGGAUGGUUUUGAGUAGGGAACAGCAUUUGCUCCAUUUCCACUCAAGUGACACUUUCCCCUGUCUGUAACAUCUUUAAGUAUUUCUUGCCUGCUGUCCUGCCUCUUCCUGACACCUGCCUGGUUUCCUCUUGUUCCUUUCCUAGCAAACUCAACUGCAGGAGCAAUUUAACUAUACUUCCUGUCUCCACUUCUUCAACUCCUGAGCACUCAACUCUUCUGAAAUUCGGCUUUUGCCUCGGCCACUCACUCCUCCUAUCUCCUUAUCUUAGCUCACCAUCUCAGUUUAGAUCUCUCUGCUGAAUUUCACACUUUGCCCCAACCCUUCCUUCUUCCUUCAAAACUCUGUCCUGGGCCUCUUUGCAGCACAGGAUCCCUUGAUUAUCAGGACCUCACACUCUGAAUUCUACUUCUCCAUCCUUGCCCACUUCUCCUCAGUUUCCUUCAAUUGCUCUUCUCCCCAACCUCCCUCUAAAGUGUUGAGGUUUUCCAGGGCUCCUCCCUUGACUGUCUUUAGUAAUCAUUUUAUACAAUUUCCCAGGCUUCAACUACCAGCUAAUCUACACCCGUGACCCCCAAAUUUACAAAUUCAACCCAAAUACUUUUCUUAAACUCAUACCCAUAGUGGACUUUCACUACUAUUUUCAGACAGCUUAAGUUCAAUAUCUACAGAACUGACUCUAUCUACACUGUACACACACACAUACACCCUCCUUCAUCCUGCCACUCAGAGAAGGUACCACUCUCCAUCUGGUUGCCAAAGGCUGAUGCUGGUAGUCAACCUUGACUCCUCACUGUCUCUCACCCCCAAUAAUCAAUUACAAUUCCAGCUAAUGUCACCUCCCCACUGUUCCCUUCUCUCCAUUCUCAUGCCACUGCCCUGCUUCAGGCAAUCACCAGCUUCCAUCUGGAUUAUGGCACCAGCCCCCUGAUUGCUUCUGGUCUUCCCCUUUCCAAUCCCUUCUCCCAAUAUCACCCCAAUAAUUUUUUAAAAUGCAGAUCUGAUCAUUUGAUUCCAGGGGGCUUAAAAAUAUUUGAAUAGCUCUGCAGAGCCUAGAGAAAUGGGCCGAACUCCCUAGAGUACAUGGGACUCUUCACAGUCUUGACCCCUAAGUCAUGAACACUAUUUAUAUAAACUGUAAGUGUUGUGUAGAUUAGAUUGAGGAGGGGACAAAUGGUGACUGGGAUAUUAGUUAAGAGACUAUUCUAAAAUACUAUUUUAAAAUCUCUGCCAUCAGAUUUGCAGAUUUCAUAAGCUCAUAUUGCCCCAAAGCCUUGAAUAUUCAUAGCACCCAAUGAAUAUUUACUGGUUUGAAAUUGAAGUGCAUUCCUUUCCUCUGGGUUUUAACUUUUCCAACUACUCCACAUGGUAGACAGAGUCAUAUAUCCAACAGGGCACAGACCUUAGCCAGCUCACUUAAUUUCCACAAAUAAUGUACUCCAUGCCUUUAUCUUAGAAUUUGGAGGUGAAAACAAAUGUGCCAAGUAAUUGGAAGGAAGGGGUGGAUGAAAGAGGCAUUGUGAAUGAUUGAUAAUCCUGGCUAUUAUUAAAACCUGAGUGCCUAUGACAAGCACUGUGAACUCUGUCCCAGGGGAAUGUGGCCAAGUUCUUGGAUUUGGAAAUAGUAAAAGACAUGAUAGUUUCAGUUUAGUGGGUGAGAGAAGCAGCUUGUGCCAGUGAUUAUGCACUGGAGGCGGGGGUGGGCGGUGAGGGUGAGGGCACGGGAAGAGAGAAAGGGAACAUAUAAUGUGCAUAAGAAAACACAAAUCCUGCCAGGCGCAGUGGCUCACACCUGUAAUCACAGCACUUUGGGAGGCCGAGGUGGAUGACCUGAGGUCAGGAGUUCAAGAUCAGCCUGGUCAACAUGGCGAAACCCCAUCUCUACUAAAAAAUACAAAAAAAUAGCCGGGCACAGUUGCUCACACCUGUAAUCCCAGCACUUUGGGAGGCUGAGGCAGGCAGAUCACUUGAGGCCAGGAGUUCGAGACCAGCCUGGCCAACAUAGUGAAUCCCUGUAUCUACUAAAUAUACAAGAGUUAGCUGGGUGUAGUGGCACACACCUGUAGUCCUAGCUACUGGGGAGGCUGAGGUAGAGAAUUGCUUGAACCUGUGGCAGAGGUUGCAGUGAGCUGAGAUUGCACCACUACACUCCAGCCUGGGCAACAGAGUGAGACUUUGUCCCAAAAAAAAAAAAAAAAAAAAAUGAGCUGGGUGUAAUGGCGCACACCUGUAAUCCCAGCUACUUGGGAGGCUGAGGUGAGAGAAUCGCUUGAACCCAGGAGGCGGAGGUUGCAGUGAGCCAAGAUGGCACCACUGUACUCCAGCCUGGGUGACAGAGUGAGACUCCAUGUCAAAAAAAAAAAAAAGAGAGAGAGAGAGAAAAGAGAAAAGAAAACACAAAUCCAUCCAAUAAAACAGAAAUUGAGGAGGCUCAAUUUCAAAAUACAAAGAAAGUAUCAUUUCCCUUUCACAUUUUAACAGCAUUAGAAUCCUAACUUGAAAGGGCUAAGGUUAGAGUUCAGAAAAUAGGGAGGAUUCUCACUCUUAGGAACUGACAAUAAGUGAGGCAAUAGGAAAAGGAACUGGCAUUUAGAAGAGAAAGUCAUUUCUGGAGAUGCGUCUGUGAGAUUUUCUAGUAGAUGGAAGGGAGACAGAACUAACAUCAUGGAGCUUCUACUACUCUAAGCCAGCAGUACAAAAAGAAAAGAAAAGAAGCUAUAGCAAAAGCUCCACUAACUGACCUGUGGAAAGAGAGUCACAAGCAUGGGCGAAGUAUCUCCCUUAGGGAGAACAAGAAUUUGUUCUCUGUCUUGUGUCUCACCAACAAAAUCCAGCAUCUGAUAGACAAAGAGUCACAGUGCAUAAAAGAAAUGUCCGCCUGAGUGCCGUAAUCACCAUGUCAUCCCGUCCUCCUCUGGCCAUCAGCCUAGGCAGCUGGAAAGGUGACUUCCUGACCAGAAUGAAAGAAUCCUAGCAGCCACGAGGAGCUGAGCCUUGUGGGGUAUCUCAGGACCAGGCAUGGGUGACAGUGAUGCUGGCUUCUGACAGGGAAGAUCACCCUAGCCAGCAAUGGAACUAACUGGGUCGUGGGACCAGGAAGCAUCCCUCUUUCCUUGUCUGUGAUUAGUGGUUCACAUUGGAUCUCACAGCCUCCUUGGGAGGCAGACAGUGCCUCUAGCAUCAUCUCCAAAUUACAGAUAUGGAAACAGCUAGGCUUAAAUAAAGAAAUUCAAACUCAGAUUCAGGGCACAGCGCCAAUGCUUCCUCCACUGUGCCAUGUUGAUCCAUAAAGUUGAAAGCCUCUGGCUAGGGACCAUAACUGCAAACAGGAGAAAAAGAAGGAAGCUAGAAAGAAAAGGAAUCACCCUGGACUCACACCGC
Molecule: long non-coding RNA, 3451 nt
Filed under: Homo sapiens (human)
Lineage: Eukaryota; Metazoa; Chordata; Mammalia; Primates; Hominidae
Description: HSALNT0297717
Source: RNAcentral